This is a non-coding RNA of Pelobates cultripes (western spadefoot toad), 232 nucleotides long. Lineage: Eukaryota; Metazoa; Chordata; Amphibia; Anura; Pelobatidae. The record is from the annotation of a GenBank genome assembly.
CAGCAAUCCCAGUUUGGAGAAGAAGUCUGUUCUGUAACAUUCUCUGCAUUGGAUAUCCCUCCUCCUACAGGGCCUCUGUGGAUUCUUGGGGCCACCUUCAUAGGUCAAUAUUACACUGAAUUUGACAGACGUAAUAAUCGUAUUGGAUUUGCUACAUCCCGGAGUGUAGAAGGAAAAUGAGUUAUUCCCAUUGCCGUCAGAAAAGGCACAGAUUUACCCUGCUGUUCCCAUA